GGGUUGUGAGGUUAAGCGACUAAGCGUACACGGUGGAUGCCCUGGCAGUCAGAGGCGAUGAAGGACGUGCUAAUCUGCGAUAAGCGUCGGUAAGGUGAUAUGAACCGUUAUAACCGGCGAUUUCCGAAUGGGGAAACCCAGUGUGAUUCGUCACACUAUCAUUAACUGAAUCCAUAGGUUAAUGAGGCGAACCGGGGGAACUGAAACAUCUAAGUACCCCGAGGAAAAGAAAUCAACCGAGAUUCCCCCAGUAGCGGCGAGCGAACGGGGAGCAGCCCAGAGCCUGAAUCAGUGUGUGUGUUAGUGGAAGCGUCUGGAAAGGCGCGCGAUACAGGGUGACAGCCCCGUACACAAAAAUGCACAUGCUGUGAGCUCGAUGAGUAGGGCGGGACACGUGGUAUCCUGUCUGAAUAUGGGGGGACCAUCCUCCAAGGCUAAAUACUCCUGACUGACCGAUAGUGAACCAGUACCGUGAGGGAAAGGCGAAAAGAACCCCGGCGAGGGGAGUGAAAAAGAACCUGAAACCGUGUACGUACAAGCAGUGGGAGCCUCUUUUAUGGGGUGACUGCGUACCUUUUGUAUAAUGGGUCAGCGACUUAUAUUCUGUAGCAAGGUUAACCGAAUAGGGGAGCCGAAGGGAAACCGAGUCUUAACUGGGCGUUAAGUUGCAGGGUAUAGACCCGAAACCCGGUGAUCUAGCCAUGGGCAGGUUGAAGGUUGGGUAACACUAACUGGAGGACCGAACCGACUAAUGUUGAAAAAUUAGCGGAUGACUUGUGGCUGGGGGUGAAAGGCCAAUCAAACCGGGAGAUAGCUGGUUCUCCCCGAAAGCUAUUUAGGUAGCGCCUCGUGAAUUCAUCUCCGGGGGUAGAGCACUGUUUCGGCAAGGGGGUCAUCCCGACUUACCAACCCGAUGCAAACUGCGAAUACCGGAGAAUGUUAUCACGGGAGACACACGGCGGGUGCUAACGUCCGUCGUGAAGAGGGAAACAACCCAGACCGCCAGCUAAGGUCCCAAAGUCAUGGUUAAGUGGGAAACGAUGUGGGAAGGCCCAGACAGCCAGGAUGUUGGCUUAGAAGCAGCCAUCAUUUAAAGAAAGCGUAAUAGCUCACUGGUCGAGUCGGCCUGCGCGGAAGAUGUAACGGGGCUAAACCAUGCACCGAAGCUGCGGCAGCGACACUGUGUGUUGUUGGGUAGGGGAGCGUUCUGUAAGCCUGUGAAGGUGUACUGUGAGGUAUGCUGGAGGUAUCAGAAGUGCGAAUGCUGACAUAAGUAACGAUAAAGCGGGUGAAAAGCCCGCUCGCCGGAAGACCAAGGGUUCCUGUCCAACGUUAAUCGGGGCAGGGUGAGUCGACCCCUAAGGCGAGGCCGAAAGGCGUAGUCGAUGGGAAACAGGUUAAUAUUCCUGUACUUGGUGUUACUGCGAAGGGGGGACGGAGAAGGCUAUGUUGGCCGGGCGACGGUUGUCCCGGUUUAAGCGUGUAGGCUGGUUUUCCAGGCAAAUCCGGAAAAUCAAGGCUGAGGCGUGAUGACGAGGCACUACGGUGCUGAAGCAACAAAUGCCCUGCUUCCAGGAAAAGCCUCUAAGCAUCAGGUAACAUCAAAUCGUACCCCAAACCGACACAGGUGGUCAGGUAGAGAAUACCAAGGCGCUUGAGAGAACUCGGGUGAAGGAACUAGGCAAAAUGGUGCCGUAACUUCGGGAGAAGGCACGCUGAUAUGUAGGUGAAGUCCCUCGCGGAUGGAGCUGAAAUCAGUCGAAGAUACCAGCUGGCUGCAACUGUUUAUUAAAAACACAGCACUGUGCAAACACGAAAGUGGACGUAUACGGUGUGACGCCUGCCCGGUGCCGGAAGGUUAAUUGAUGGGGUCAGCGCAAGCGAAGCUCUUGAUCGAAGCCCCGGUAAACGGCGGCCGUAACUAUAACGGUCCUAAGGUAGCGAAAUUCCUUGUCGGGUAAGUUCCGACCUGCACGAAUGGCGUAAUGAUGGCCAGGCUGUCUCCACCCGAGACUCAGUGAAAUUGAACUCGCUGUGAAGAUGCAGUGUACCCGCGGCAAGACGGAAAGACCCCGUGAACCUUUACUAUAGCUUGACACUGAACAUUGAGCCUUGAUGUGUAGGAUAGGUGGGAGGCUUAGAAGUGUGGACGCCAGUCUGCAUGGAGCCGACCUUGAAAUACCACCCUUUAAUGUUUGAUGUUCUAACGUGGACCCGUGAUCCGGGUUGCGGACAGUGUCUGGUGGGUAGUUUGACUGGGGCGGUCUCCUCCUAAAGAGUAACGGAGGAGCACGAAGGUUGGCUAAUCCUGGUCGGACAUCAGGAGGUUAGUGCAAUGGCAUAAGCCAGCUUGACUGCGAGCGUGACGGCGCGAGCAGGUGCGAAAGCAGGUCAUAGUGAUCCGGUGGUUCUGAAUGGAAGGGCCAUCGCUCAACGGAUAAAAGGUACUCCGGGGAUAACAGGCUGAUACCGCCCAAGAGUUCAUAUCGACGGCGGUGUUUGGCACCUCGAUGUCGGCUCAUCACAUCCUGGGGCUGAAGUAGGUCCCAAGGGUAUGGCUGUUCGCCAUUUAAAGUGGUACGCGAGCUGGGUUUAGAACGUCGUGAGACAGUUCGGUCCCUAUCUGCCGUGGGCGCUGGAGAACUGAGGGGGGCUGCUCCUAGUACGAGAGGACCGGAGUGGACGCAUCACUGGUGUUCGGGUUGUCAUGCCAAUGGCACUGCCCGGUAGCUAAAUGCGGAAGAGAUAAGUGCUGAAAGCAUCUAAGCACGAAACUUGCCCCGAGAUGAGUUCUCCCUGACUCCUUGAGAGUCCUGAAGGAACGUUGAAGACGACGACGUUGAUAGGCCGGGUGUGUAAGCGCAGCGAUGCGUUGAGCUAACCGGUACUAAUGAACCGUGAGGCUUAACCUUACAACGCCGAAGCUGUU
RNAcentral lists this ribosomal RNA (2929 nucleotides) under Escherichia coli. Its description in RNAcentral is "23S ribosomal RNA". It matches the Rfam family "Bacterial large subunit ribosomal RNA". Lineage: Bacteria; Pseudomonadati; Pseudomonadota; Gammaproteobacteria; Enterobacterales; Enterobacteriaceae. The record is from RNAcentral.